UGGGAAGGAGCCGCGACUACUUGCAGGAGGGUGAAGCGUCUGCGCUGCUGAGGUAGGGGGAGAAGAGUACCAAUGUAUGAAGCCUUAAAGAAACGGCCGUUUGGGGAAAGGCACCGACUCAGGAGCUAUGUUUUCCUCCAGGGUUCCCUCCAGCCCUCCCCGGCUAAGGAUCGGCCCCCACAGUCCCGCGCCUCACCCAAGUGCCCCGAGUCCUGCUUCCGCCUCCGCUGCAGCCUCUCCCGCAGAGAAUCCAGCUGCUUUUUGUGGGCCUGGAUAGAGCUCCACGUGUCCGACAUGUCAGUCUCGCAGCCCAGACACGUCUCGAACCAAGGGCGGCUGCCUUCCACCUCUCAGCCCUAGUUCCAAGAAUUAUCCAACUCUCACGCGGACACCCGAAGGCUAACCGGAAAGAGAUCCCGGGAGAUGCACCGGACGGAAAGUCAUUUCCGGGUUUGCUCUACCUUUGAAGCUGAAACGAGAGCCACCUUAAGUGUUGGCGGAAUGGCGGAUAUAUUUUCUAUGGGAGUUCUUUCACGCUUCCGGCAACCGGCGGCACAUGGAACUUACCUGUGACCAGGGAUUGAACCCACAUCCCUUGCAGUGGAAGGCUGAGUCUUAAUCACUGGACCACCAAGGAAGACCCUACUUAACAGGAAUAGCUUAAAGUACUGUUGGGUGUUUACAUUGUGGAGCCAAUUUUCAAGCCAGACCACUCGAGCAUAAUCUCUCGCAACACUCCAGUUAAAGAAGCCCAGAACUGUGAAGAACAAAGAGAAGGUAGGUGAUUGGAAUGAGAUCCUUGGAAGAGAAAGAAGAGGGGCCAGUCAGGGAUGCUAAUUCCCAGAGCUCUGUAACUCCUCUGGACUCAAGGCCUCACUUUCUGGGUGCAGACCUGGAGGAUGACAAACUUUCGACUUACAGAGAAAAACUGAAGACCUACAA
Molecule: long non-coding RNA, 942 nt
Organism: Balaenoptera ricei (Rice's whale)
Lineage: Eukaryota; Metazoa; Chordata; Mammalia; Artiodactyla; Balaenopteridae
Exons: 5
Source: RefSeq, a predicted model, not a curated record